This 333-nucleotide long non-coding RNA is filed under the name Monodelphis domestica (gray short-tailed opossum). RNAcentral describes it as "lncRNA (ENSMODG00000038749.1)". Lineage: Eukaryota; Metazoa; Chordata; Mammalia; Didelphimorphia; Didelphidae. The record is from RNAcentral.
UACUGACUACUCUGUGACUUGCCACUCUUCUUCCUUGGGACCAAAACCUAUUAUUGAUUCUAAGAUGGAAGAGAGAAAAUCAUAUCCAGCACAGCAAAAGGAACAACCCAAGUGAAGGAAGGACAAGGAAGACCCAAGAUUCCAGAAAGGAACAGAUGAGCUGGGAGGAUUCAAAAACAGUCACUUCACUUCUUCUUGGGAGCUCUCCUGGAGUGGAUGGUCUGAGGAGGGACCACUGAGAUAGAGGGUCUCUCUGGACAUUGACUACCUUCCAGUAAACCCCAAAUCCCUCUGUACCAGUGGAAGACAAUAAAAGUAGAUUGGGACUUGGCA